Molecule: ribosomal RNA, 245 nt
Filed under: uncultured bacterium
Lineage: Bacteria
Description: partial 16S ribosomal RNA
Rfam family: Bacterial small subunit ribosomal RNA
Source: RNAcentral
UACGAGUGGUGCAAGCGUUAUUCGGAAUCAUUGGGCGUAAAGGGUGUGUAGGCGAUAAUCCAAGUCUAUUGUUAAAUGCCUCAGCCUAACUGAGGACAUGCAAUAGAAACUGUAUUGUUAGAGGAUGGAAGAGAGAAGUGGAAUUCUCGGAGUAGCGGUAAAAUGCGUAGAUCUCGAGAGGAACACCGAUGGCGAAGGCAGCUUCUUAGUCCAUUCCUGACGCUGAUACACGAAAGCGUGGGGAG